GACAGAGGUGGCGAGCGUUGUUCGGUGUCACUGGGCUUAAAGCGUGUGUAGGCGGCCUGAAUAGUCCUUUGUGAAAUACCUCGGCUUAACCGAGGAACUGCUUGGGAUACUUUCAGGCUUGAGGCAGGUAUGGGUGCGGGGAACGGUUGGUGGAGCGGUGGAAUGCGUAGAUAUCAACCGGAACGCCGGCGGUGAAGACGCUGCACUGGGCCUGUUCUGACGCUGAGACACGAAAGCGUGGGUAUAAAACGGG
RNAcentral lists this ribosomal RNA (253 nucleotides) under uncultured bacterium. RNAcentral's name for it is "partial 16S ribosomal RNA". It matches the Rfam family "Bacterial small subunit ribosomal RNA", at positions 524 to 776 of the family's 1533-position model. The record is from RNAcentral.